RNAcentral lists this ribosomal RNA (779 nucleotides) under uncultured Neocallimastigales. RNAcentral describes it as "partial large subunit ribosomal RNA". It matches the Rfam family "Eukaryotic large subunit ribosomal RNA", at positions 24 to 637 of the family's 3401-position model. The record is from RNAcentral. Lineage: Eukaryota; Fungi; Neocallimastigomycota; Neocallimastigomycetes; Neocallimastigales.
GUAGUCUCGCACAGACGCAUAUCAAUAAGCGGAGGAAAAGAAACUAACAAGGAUUCCCCUAGUAGCGGCGAGUGAAGCGGGAAGAGCUCAAAUUUGAAAUCUUAAAGGGUUUUCCCUUGACGAAUUGUAGUUUAAAGAAGUGUUUUCUGUUGAAGGUUUUGGUAAAAGUUCUUUGGAAUAGGACAUCAUAGAGGGUGAGAAUCCCGUAUUUGACCAUUACUUUUCAAGCUGUGUGAUACACUUUCAAAGAGUCGGAUUGUUUGGGAAUGCAGUCCAAAAUGGGUGGUAAAUUUCAUCUAAAGCUAAAUAUUGGCGAGAGACCGAUAGCGAACAAGUACCGUGAGGGAAAGAUGAAAAGAACUUUGAAAAGAGAGUUAAACAGUACGUGAAAUUGUCAAAAGGGAAGCGUUUGACACCAGUGUUGUUUUUCUGAAAAUCAAUUAAAGAACUGUUUAUGCUAAGCUGUUUAGACUUUAUCAGCUAUCUGCUUAGUUUUGAGCUUUUCUUUAAUGCACUUUUCAGUUAACAAGUCAACAUCAAUUUCUUUUGCUGUAAAAAAAGCUUGAGGAAGGUGGCUUGAGAUUCGUCUUAAGUGUUUAUAGCCUCUUGCCUAUGCAGUCGGAGAGAUUGAGGUCUGCAGCGUAGAUCCUUCGGGGCUAAAUGCAUUUGUGCUAAGUUAUAGCAUUUUAUAGACAACUUGUUGACUAUGAUUUGUCUUGUAGCUUACUCGCUUAUGUUAUUUUACCUACGCUUAGGAUGUUGACAGCAGUAUAGACUGU